UGAGUAAUAGUUCAGUGGUAGAGCCCAUGCUUAGUGUGCUUGAGGUCCUGGGUUCAAUCUCCAGUACCUCCA
This 72-nucleotide transfer RNA is filed under the name Camelus bactrianus (Bactrian camel). It matches the Rfam family "tRNA". From Rfam's summary of the family: Transfer RNA (tRNA) molecules are approximately 80 nucleotides in length. Lineage: Eukaryota; Metazoa; Chordata; Mammalia; Artiodactyla; Camelidae. RNAcentral also lists the same sequence under 3 other names. The record is from Rfam by way of RNAcentral.